Molecule: long non-coding RNA, 1275 nt
Organism: Eupeodes corollae
Lineage: Eukaryota; Metazoa; Arthropoda; Insecta; Diptera; Syrphidae
Exons: 5
Source: RefSeq, a predicted model, not a curated record
AAGCAAAAUGGGGGAUUGGGCUAAAAAACAACUUUUGGAAUUUUUGUGACCUGUCACAAAUGACAAUCAAUUUUGCAAAACAAAACAAUGUGUUUUGGAUUUUAAGAGCCAAAAACACUUUUAAUGAAAAGAGUAUAUACAAGUUCACUUCAUUGAAUAAAAAGUAAGUCAAAUUGCAGUGAAGGAGGUGCAACAAUAAUUGAUUAUUCUAUAGUCUAUGUUUCAUUUUAAAUACUACCAAUAACAUACCAUAAUCCAGCAAGCAAUUUCUCUGAACAAAUUUUGGAGGACAAAGCAAACAAGCCGCUGAUUUGCAGGCAAGUUUUUUGUAUAUUAUAUUUCUCUUAACAAAAUAAUAUCAUUGUUUUAAGCGAUAGAUACUGCCCAUUGUGUUUGUAUGUACAUCGUUGACGGUGGAGGUGUCGUCAUCUCUACCAAUAGUCAAAUGCAUAGUCGUAUGCAACAAAACCAGCAGCAACAACACCACCAAGUCAAGGAUACCAUUCAAUAGUCGACCGCUAACGCUCUCCUCCCAGCAGCUCAGUGUUGGUGUUACCAUGAUUUAACACCAGUAACAGAAACUGCCAACUCGACAUGCCAAGAAAUAUUAUGCAAGCCGCAACAGGGCGCGGAAUGUAACUACCUUGUUGCCAUUGAAGGAUGACAGGGAUACUUAGCUGGCUGACACAGAUGAGGUAGCUGAACAGAAUGAAGCAACCUGCUGAGAUAAAUCACCUCCUAAAUGAAGGGAUUCGGAAAUCAUUGAAUUAUCUGCAGUUUUGGUAAACUUAGAAGAAUUCCCUGAAUUCGUUAUGCAUAUUGCAAAGCCACAUUUUUUCAAUCUAUGGAUCGACUUGAGAGCCCUCUUCUGGAAGUGGUACAAUUAUAAUCUGAUCCAUUUCAUUGUGCGUUCGUUAACCAGAAGGUUCAUGAUGGCGAGACUACUUCAAACAACCAAACAAAACGAAGUGGUAUUGCAACAAGUCAUACAAUUUGAUCCGACGACAUGCUUAGAAUCUCAUUAAUUGAUAAUUUCCUAAAUAAUAUCAUUUUCGUUGUUGUUCCUUUCAAUGGAUAUUCUUUUGUUUUUAAAUUAUUUCAUGAAUUUAGGUAGCCGCAAAAAGCCUUAUAAUGUAUUAUAAGGUUGGGUGCCGAAUAGAAUUUAAAACAUAUUUUUAUUAAUUCCACUUUAUUUUAAGAACAAUAGAUAUAUUUCUCUAUGACUUAUAUGGAGUGUCUUUGUUGUAUUUCAUUACACCAUUUUAGUGGUGAAUA